UACGAAGGGGGCUAGCGUUGUUCGGAAUCACUGGGCGUAAAGGGCGCGUAGGCGGCCUUGUAAGUCGGGGGUGAAAGCCUGUGGCUCAACCACAGAAUUGCCUUCGAUACUGCAGGGCUUGAGACCGGAAGAGGUAAGUGGAACUGCGAGUGUAGAGGUGAAAUUCGUAGAUAUUCGGAAGAACACCAGUGGCGAAGGCGGCUCACUGGACCGGCAUUGACGCUGAGGUGCGAAAGCGUGGGGAGCAAGCAGG
This 253-nucleotide ribosomal RNA is filed under the name uncultured bacterium. RNAcentral describes it as "partial 16S ribosomal RNA". It matches the Rfam family "Bacterial small subunit ribosomal RNA", at positions 524 to 776 of the family's 1533-position model. The record is from RNAcentral.